Molecule: long non-coding RNA, 1199 nt
Organism: Syngnathus typhle (broad-nosed pipefish)
Lineage: Eukaryota; Metazoa; Chordata; Actinopteri; Syngnathiformes; Syngnathidae
Exons: 2
Source: RefSeq, a predicted model, not a curated record
GACUCCGAUGUACCUGGACAGUCUUCUUGAUUCGAUGCGAAGGUCCGGGAUACUCUGAUGAGUACAGAUCGGUGAGGAAGAGGGAGUUGAUCAGCGUGGAUUUGCCCAACCCCGAUUCACCUGGAGGAAGAGCAGCAAAGAUCGGCGUGGGGGCGACACACCGGCACCAGGAAGCAAAGAGAAGAGAGCGAAAAAAUGAGCAUCAGAGCACAUGACAAACAUACAACAGGAGACAUUUGACCCACGCGCUGUGUUUCACAACAUGCACUCCCCUUUAUGUGAUGAAGAAAAAGACUAUUUAUUUCAGUGUUUGCCUGGGGCGCCGAGGCAAAAGAAGAGCAUCUCUUCCCUGUGCUGCAGCUCGGCGGAUUGGUCAUUAACAAACGUAUUUUUCUUAUCGCAGACAUUUCCCUCACGAGUAACCGACAUCUGAUAUAUCUGCAAGAGGAACAAACUGCUGUGUCCACUCAUUCCAAUUGGGGAAGGACAAUGCAAUUUCCAAAAUAUGUCCACUCAUUCCAAUAGGGGAAGGACAAUGCAAUUUCAAAAAUAAUCUAAUUACGAUUAAACAUCAAUAUUCUGAUUGUGAUUUAUGAAGCAAUUAUUUUCGGCCCAUUUUGUUAUUUUCCCGUGUGCUUUUUUUUUCUUUUUUAGCAAACACAAGAUGUUGUUUGGUUAAAUUCACAAUGUGGAAUUCUUUUAGUUUGAUGUUUUAUUUGACAGUAAACUUCAACUGGAAGUGACAAUCAACAACUUGAGUGUCUGCUCUUUGAAGAAUUGUUUACCAAGCGCCCGAUUUAUUCUCGUGGUGAAGCGAAUUGAGUUUGCUGCUGCCAGCUAGCGUUUGCCUCUCAAAUUCUUCCAGCCAAGUAAAAAAAAAGAAGAUAAUUGGCAGAGUAACAGCUCGUGUCUUGGAAAACUUGUAAAUCAGGUCACUCGUAACUCAAGCUGCCAACGUAUAGUAGUUAUCUGCGUUCCAUUUCUUUUCCUUGACUUUGUUUUCUUCAAUUUACUGGUGGGAAAAUAACAAUGUUGCAUUUCAUCUCAGUGACAAAUGAUUUAUGACAAAUUGAUUUAUGAGGAUACCACAGACCCAUAAAGAUGAACGUACGUUCAGGAAAAGUCAUUAUACUGUACUAACUAGUUAUUGAUUCACAGGACACUUAAUACACAGGCUGCAAUAGUCUUAGACCAGUGAU